RNAcentral lists this ribosomal RNA (116 nucleotides) under uncultured bacterium. RNAcentral's name for it is "partial 16S ribosomal RNA". It matches the Rfam family "Bacterial small subunit ribosomal RNA", at positions 1369 to 1482 of the family's 1533-position model. The record is from RNAcentral.
CGUUCCCGGUCUUCGUACACACCGCCCGUCACACCACGAAAGUCGGCAACACCCGAAGCCGGUGGCCUAACCCGCAAGGGAGGGAGCCGUCGAAGGUGGGGCUGGCGAUUGGGGUG